RNAcentral lists this non-coding RNA (21 nucleotides) under Caenorhabditis elegans. The record is from RNAcentral. Lineage: Eukaryota; Metazoa; Nematoda; Chromadorea; Rhabditida; Rhabditidae.
UUUGAUAAAUCGAAGUAAAUC